RNAcentral lists this small RNA (126 nucleotides) under Arabidopsis thaliana (thale cress). RNAcentral describes it as "ATSL036640". The record is from RNAcentral. Lineage: Eukaryota; Viridiplantae; Streptophyta; Magnoliopsida; Brassicales; Brassicaceae.
GAAAGGAAAUGGUUAUAAGUGUUGUCUAAACACUUCUUGUCCAUCCCUAACUCUUAUAAUUACUCAAAUGCAUUAGAUUGUGAUACAUUUUGAUUAUAGAAACACUAACAAUUCUAUUUACUGUUU